Non-coding RNA from Pelobates cultripes (western spadefoot toad), 426 nucleotides. Lineage: Eukaryota; Metazoa; Chordata; Amphibia; Anura; Pelobatidae. The record is from the annotation of a GenBank genome assembly.
CCCCAAUCUUGGUUUAUAUGUAAAAGAUAGAACUCAGGGAAAUUUGGUAUCACUGUAUCCAUUAAAAUUUGAAUAAAUAAUUUAAUAUCAUUCCAAUACUGUGUAAGACGAGAGCAUUCCCAGAAAUAUGGAAUAAAGUUCCCUUCUCCCUUUGACACCUUCAGCACCUGUCAGAGGUAGCUUCAUACAUUCGAGACAAUUUUGCAGGAACUAAAUACCAACGCAUUAAUAUUUUGCUAUAAGCUUCCCAAUGUGUAAGGCUGUGAGAUAUUUGUUUAGUGAUUUUUAUAGUUUGAUACCAAUGGAAUAGAUCAAAGGUUUUUAAUAGGUCUCGUUCCCAUAAUAUCAUAUAAGGCAACUUUUCUUCACCAUUUACAUAUAAAAGGCUUUUAUUGCACAUUGAGAGAGGUUUACGCUCCAUAUUAG